Molecule: ribosomal RNA, 254 nt
Filed under: uncultured bacterium
Lineage: Bacteria
Description: partial 16S ribosomal RNA
Rfam family: Bacterial small subunit ribosomal RNA
Source: RNAcentral
UACGGAGGGAGCUAGCGUUGUUCGGAAUUACUGGGCGUAAAGCGCGCGUAGGCGGCUUUGUAAGUUAGAGGUGAAAGCCCGGGGCUCAACCCCGGAACUGCCUUUAAGACUGCAUCGCUUGAAUCCAGGAGAGGUGAGUGGAAUUCCGAGUGUAGAGGUGAAAUUCGUAGAUAUUCGGAAGAACACCAGUGGCGAAGGCGGCUCACUGGACUGGUAUUGACGCUGAUGUGCGAAAGCGUGGGGGAGCAAACAGG